UGAGUAACACGUAUGCAACCUGCCUGCCACAGCCGGAUAAUCGGGAGAAAUUCCGUCUAAUACGGCAUAAUGCAUCGACGGGACAUCCUGUUGGUGCCAAAGGUUAAUUCCGGUGGCGGAUGGGCAUGCGUCGCAUUAGCUUGUUGGCGGGGUAACGGCCCACCAAGGCGACGAUGCGUAGGGGUUCUGAGAGGAAGGUCCCCCACACUGGUACUGAGACACGGACCAGACUCCUACGGGAGGCAGCAG
Molecule: ribosomal RNA, 249 nt
Filed under: uncultured bacterium
Lineage: Bacteria
Description: partial 16S ribosomal RNA
Rfam family: Bacterial small subunit ribosomal RNA
Source: RNAcentral